AUGGACGGCGUUCGGCCGCCAAUCGGGAUGGGAGAAGCGACAGCCCGCGCGUCUUUUGGGGGCGGACUGACAGCCCCGGGGCCCUAUGGGAGGCGGGUCCUGCGGCCCGCGGGGGCGGGACUGCGCCGGGCGCUGCCCCGGGGAACUCAGGCCGCUUCGCGGGCGCUGCCAGUCUCCGGCGGCGGCGUCCGGCGCGCGGGCGGCCUGCUGGGCGGGCUGAGGGGCCGGCGGCGCGCGGCUGAGGCAGAGCGACAGAGCGGGCGAGCCGCCACGGCGACAGGUCCCGUCUCGGCGGCCCUCGACUCGCCCGCCGCCCGACGCCUGAGAGCCAGGCGGCCCGUGAGCCGCCGCCGCCGCGAGCGGGAGAGAAACUUCGGUCUCCCGGGCCCGGGCGGCGGGAGAAGUGGGCCCGCGGUGAGCCGUGCGCCGGCACGCAUCGCAGGCGCGAUGGAGCCUCGCUCACCUGGCGGGCCCGCCGAGGGAGGGAUAACGGAGCGUCCCGCCGCAGCCGCGGUCCCCGGCUUUCGGUCUGCGCUCCCGGGGCGGUGGGUGUGGAUAUGCGCGUUCGCCGCCUUUCACCUGCCGCCCCGGGAGGAGGACCAGUGACUGGGAACACGGCCUCCCCGUCCUCGACUGCCUGUAGAGGGGACUGGGGCAGCGCCGUUCCAACAGGUGAUUAUCCCAAGUGCCAGGUGAGAGCCACUGAAAAGUUGUUUCAGUGUUCGAUAAUUCAAUUCACUCCCUGGGCUUUGUUCAAGCCUUCUCCCGUAAUGAAUUUUUUUUUUUUUUUAAAGGUGUGCUGACCGUAGUAUAGGAGUCAAAAACCAGUAUUGAUUGGGGUGCGGGGUGGGUGGGGAAAGUGGGGAGUGUCGCCAGCGUGUGGAUUGCCUUCUUUCCAUUGACUUGGCCGGGAGGAACAUCUUAGUUUAAAAAUCGGUUUCUGCAGUGGUGGUGAAAGCAUGCAUAGUAAGGUACAAGUUGUAAAUGGAGAAUGCAGAGCUCGAGAUAUCCUUCGCUGUGGUUCAGGACAGAGUGUACAACGUUUGGCCGCCAUUCAGUAAAUUCUGCAUGAAGCAGUUUGAGCUCGUGGUUUUGGAUUUACUUUACAAGAGUGGAAUAAGGCUUAGCUUUGAAUGGGAGCUUUCUUUGCCUCUCUGAAGGCACACAGGAGUGUUUAUUUUCAUUGUCUUCUCGUUUUGUUAGAUUGUAGACAAGGGAAAAGUUAAGGCAUAUUUUGGUUCAGUAUUUUUAAUAGCCUAUGGGAAUUCUCCUUCACCCAUUCUCCCCCUCCCCCGCCCCGCAUAAGAGUAUUUAUUUUAAAAUUCGAGGGUAGAGUUGAACAACUUUUUAUUCUUGUGGAAGUUUUUAUGUUAUACUUUCACUUAUUUUCUGUUUCUCUCUCUCACAGCUGACCUCACUUAAAAUCUAUAGUUACGGCCUUGACCAAUUUAGGGCAUUUAUAGAAAAAGUUUUAAAAUAAUAUGUAAUUAUUUUAAAAUAUAUUAUGAAGGUUUAGAUAACUCAGAUUUUUCUUAUGUCUUUUUUAAAAUGUCUGUGCUGGAUAUGAUUUGAAUAAGAGAUGUAAGGAACUUCUUAAGGACAGUUACACUUUUGAUUUAAUUAUGUUACUUUAUUAGUGCUUCAUUGAAUGGUAAUUUUAGUCACAUGUUAAUUAGUAACACCUUUGAAAGGUGCACUCUAACCAAUAGGCUAGUUGUGACUGUUCGGGAUUUUUUUUUUUUUAAUCAAAGAUUUUAUAAAAUUUUUUUUUGUUUCUCUAAAACAGGCUUAUCUGCUGUGAGUUCUUUGUCUUUCAAACGUGAACAUUUUAAAAUAUUGGAUUAGGCAACUAGUGAAGUCUUCAAUUUUCUGUUUAUUCUUGCAUUGGAAAAAGAACUUAUUUCGGUUGUUUUGUUUCCUAAAGUCUUAGCUUAGAACAAGCAGUCUAGAGAAGGAAGAACAUCCUCUUUCUAUAGCUGUAGAAGAAAUUAUUACUGUUGAAAGCUGAGUUGGCUUUUCGAUGCUUAGCGAAGGUAGAUUGAGCAGUGACUUGUUCAGAGUGGGUUUUAUUCUGUAUAAGUAGUUCUGAGGAAUCUCAUGAGACUAGGGUUAUAGGUGAUCUAUAUAAUUGUUGUUUAAAGUGUAUAGGAAUAUAUUAGUUUAACUAUUGUGUAUAAUUAGAAGUUUUAUAGUUUUUAUCUUGUGAUGCUUAAAUGUACCACAUACCAUAAAUUAAAGCUGUAUUUCAUAGUUUAAUUUACAGAAGCAUGUUUUGGGAACUUUAAAAGUGCCUUUUAAUUAAAAUACUGUUUUCAAAUUCAAUUUUUACAUGUUUUAAUUACUGAUUUCUGUCCACUUUUAACUUGUGGUAGACCGUAUCAUAAAAUGGUCAACCACGUUAUAGUUUCAAAAUUAAAUAUAAGUUGAAUUCUUACAUCUACAUAAUAAAUGUUGGGAGUAUUUUUAAGUCACUUACCCUCAGGUUUGGCUCCUUUUGAAUUUGGGGGUGGGCAAAUAUUUUUGAUUAAACAAAGCUACAGAAAAACAGGGACACAUGUGAAACAAGCUACGUUUGAGGGUAAAUCACAUGAUACUGUUAGAUAGUAAUACUUGUUUAUUUAACAGUAAAAUGCAUGCUGUAUCUGUUAUUAAGAAUAUUUUCUGUAGGCCUUUAAUAUGAUUUUUCACAAUUCCUAACAAUCUAUAUUGUACAUAUUUUGGCACACUGAAUUCUGUACUUAUUUUAUGCUGAACAGUUAAAUAUUUUAUACUUUUUAUAAUUCUGAAACUAUUUGAACUUUCUAACCUAGCUAAUUAAGUAAUCAGAUUUUUUCAUUAUUUUACAUUCUGAAUUUUUUUUACAGUGCAUUUUUAACUUCUGACAUUAUGCCAGGAAAAUUAAAAGUUUAAGGAAAAUUAAAUUUACAGUCAUUUGAGACUAAGUGGAAGUUGGUAGGUAAAUCAUAUAACUGUUGAUUUAAAAACAGUAGCCACUUAAGUGGGGUUUUUUUUGCAAAAAGAUGCUUAUUUAUUGUGUAAAAGAUAGUUCUGCCAAAUGAAACAGGUUAAAGUAAUUUAUAGCAGGACCUUGUGGACGUAACUAAGUUCCUAAGGAUAUUUCAGUAGUAUUUAAAACACUAAAAUUCAAGCUCUCAAAUUAUUUGUACUUCAUUUUUGUCAUGAUGAGGCUUGACCUGCAUUCAGCUGAAACUCAAACAUGUAAGACUAUAAUCCUUAAAUGUGGCACGUAUUUUAGUGUUCUAGCCUUUUGGAAAACAGCUAGUUAAUAAGAGUGAAGGACCACCAGAGGGAGUGUGGGGUCUACACAUUUGAUUUGAUCUAUUUUCUACUCUUGGUCUGGAAAAGAAACAUUUUAAAAAAUAGGAAUAAAAUUUUAGCUCUCUAAAACAGGCAAAAAGAUAUUGAAAGUUGGAAAUUGUAGCUCUUUGGAACUGCUGUCAUUUUUGUAACACUUAAUCAAGUUUGUUUUUUUCUUUUUAGAAAAAGGUACAGUUACUAGAAAAAUAAAAAUUAUGUAUUUUCAGAGUGCAGUAAUGGGUUUUUAAGUAAACAUUUCCACAUCUGUGAAAGUUAUGGAACAUCCGAAUGCUAAGAAUGUUUUUUAAGAUUAAAAAUACAGUCCAUUUGAGUUGUAUGGUCUUGAAAUUGCUCAUUUUUUGGAAGGAGGAAUAAAAGAUGGAGAAAGAUCAAAGAUAGAAGAGGGGUUUUUUCCCCUUUUGUAGUCUGCAAAUCUUUGCUAAAGCAGGCGAUGGUAAAUUUUUGGAACCAUUUGUGAUGUUCAGUUUGUAGUCUUGGCAGUUUGUCUGUGAUGUUAAAUGAAGAACCACUCCUAGUCCCCUGCAAAUGAUCAUCUGAUGAUCAAAAACAGGGUUGGGGAUUUCAAAUUGGUUGCAUCAAAAAUCCGAUUUGUGUGUAUGUUUCUCAAUGUUCCUGUCUCUGGAAAUUAAAGAUCCUUCUAGCUGCUGAAAGUUACACAUGGAAUUUGAAGGUCAGGAUGUCUCUGUCACAGACAGUGCUGCAGUAGGUUGCUUUUUGGAAUGGAGGUCUUUUUCUGAAUAAGGAUGAAAUGGUCUUUACUCAUGUUAAAUAUUAGCCAAUGGAAUUAUUUCCAUGUUUAACUUUUUUAAAAAAGCAAGACAAUAAAGUAAAAUCUUGUAACCUUAACAUAUUUUGGGUUUUACCCCCUAGCAUUAAAAAAUUACUUCAUCAUGGAUAGUCAUAUUUAAUGUUCUGAAAUUCUAGUUUGGAAAGGGGAUCUGUUGUGAAAAGAUGGUAUUUCAUUGAUGCGAAAUACAGUAGCUUACAUGGAGAGAAAUUUGUUUCUCUUUUGAAUUAUACUUAGGUUAAAAUAUAAUAUACUUAUUAAGAAUUGAAAUGUCAUCUAAAUUUAUUUUCAUUGUGAACUUUAUAAGUUUGUUUAAUAUACCUUUGGGGUUAUUCCUGGGUAGAUCUCUCAGAGUCCAUUUGUGUACACACACACAUAAAUACGUACACACAGGUAGGAAGAUAAAUAUCUAUACUAUAUGUAUUUGUAUUAUAUAUGAAACUGUGUAUGUUUAUUGUAUGUAUACAUAUAAAUCAUCUAUAUGACUUCCCAGGCUUAUUUAUAUGUGAAUUCUUUUUUUUCAAGUGAAAUCUUGCUUCAUCAAGAGGAACAAAGUACAUGUCCACACAGAAACUGAUAAAAAUGUUCGUAGAAUCUUUCUUCACAAUAAUAAUAAAUGACUCAUAAUAAUAAUGACUCAUGGUGGCUCAGAGGUUAAAGCAUCUGCCUGCAGUGCGGGAGACCUGGGUUCGAUCCUUGGGUUGGGAAGAUCCCCUGGAGAAGGAAAUGGCAACCCACUCUAGUAUUCUUACCUGGAGAAUCCCAUGGACGGAGGAGCCUGGUGGGCUACAGUCCACAGGGUCGCAAAGAGUCAGACACGACUGAACGACUUCACUUUCACUUCACUUUCAAUGACUCAUACAAUGACAUAGAAGAAUCUCAGAAAUAUUUUUCAGAGCAAGAGAAACCAAACACAUGUAUGUAUUGUUCGAUGCCAUUUAUAAAAAAUAUAAGAACAGACAAAACUUAGGUAUGGUGAUAGAAAUCAGGAAAGCAGUUUCUGGGUAAAGGCUGUGGAUAACUGGAAAGGGACAAAGGGGAACAUUUUCUGUAAAGAAACUCUUCAGUUUUCAAAAAAUUAAUUAAUUUGACUUUGCUGGGUCUUUGUUGGCAGCACGUAGGAUCUAGUUUCUUGACUAGGGAUCAAACCCUGGCCCCCUGCAUUGGGAGAGUGGAGUCUUAGCCUUUGGACCACCAGGAAAGUCCCAAAAGGGAACUUUUGAGGGUGAUAGAAAUAUUCUAUAGCUUGGUUUGGGAUUCAAGUGAUUAAAUUCACAUAUACGCUUUCAGGGUAAUUUUUAAUUUU
This is a long non-coding RNA of Bos grunniens (domestic yak), 5432 nucleotides long. The record is from Ensembl. NCBI's taxonomy places the organism in Eukaryota, Metazoa, Chordata, Mammalia, Artiodactyla, Bovidae.